AAUCUGGAAAAGUAAAAGUAAAUGAUGAGCCUAGAAUAUCUCAUGAAGUGCUCAAAGGAUGAUAGGGAUAUGGCAAAAGGACACAAAUGUCAACUUGGAGGGGCUCCAAAUGGACAAUUUGUGCACAAUAGUAUCCGAUUAUAACCUACAGUGUGUGCGUGCGUGCGUGUGUCUGUGUAAAGCGCUUCCUUAUAGUGGAAUGCUGACUAAUAAAUUACAGGAAAGCCUGACAACCACUAAUUGUUCAAGCAAGAAUCAUCAAUGACUGCUAAAACUAGUGGAUAAAAGUUUGAUGAGAGCCGGAUAUUUACAUAGUCUCAAAGUAUCUCCCAUAAAGGGAAAAAUCGUUACAGUGGAAAAACCUGGCAGAUAUUAUCUUUAAGUAAUUAAAGUUAACAUCACCAGUAACGGUUCAAACUGACAUCACGUGCCUCCUGAUAGGACGCAUCAAGGACAUAACAUCAUUUCUGUAGUAUUCCUGCCCAACUGCAUAAUCUCAAUUAAAUCAUGAGAAAAAUACCAGACAAAUGCAAACUGAGUGCAUUCUACAAAAUAACUGUCCUUUAAAAAUCUCAAGGUACGAAAGAUAGAGGAACCGCUCCGGAUUAGGGAAGACUCAAGAAACAUGACAUCCAAAUACAAAAAGCAAUCAUGAUGGCAUCCUGCACCUUUUUGUUUUUCCUUAUAAAAGACAUUAGUGGAACAACUGGUGAAAUAUGAAUGAAGCCUGGAUAUUAACUAAUAGCAUCAUAUACUUUAUUUCCUAAUUUUAAUAAUUGUACGGUGGUUAUGUAAAUGUCCUUGUCUCAAGGAAACACGCCCUGAAAUGUUUAGGGAUAAGGGACAUAAUGUCUGCAAUUUUCUUUCAAGUGAUUCAUAAAAAAUAGUUACUGAGAGUCAUUAUUGUGAGUGUAGUUAUUGAGGAAAAAAAUAAUAAAGCAGGUAUGGUAAAAUGUUAGCAAUUGGAGAAUCUGGAUGAAAGAUAUGUGGGAGUUUUUUCUACUGUUCUUGCAAGUUUUAAGUCUGAAAUUAUUCAAAAUUUUUAAAAUCCCCCUUCUCCCCAAAAAGAAUCACUAUAUUUCAGUGACUAAUGAAAUAACAGACCUAGGCAAUGAUCAUCAAUGAAUGUUAAAACUGCUACAUGAAAGAUCAACAGAACUUUUAUAACGGAUGAAUCAACCUGACAGCAACGGGACUGAUGAAUUUUGACAUAGUGAAAAUGGGACAGGACAACCAGACAAUGCUGCCUGUGCUGCAACAGGACGUACAGCAAGGAAGUAUUCUUGGAGGGGGCGGGGACAAUCUGAAUCCAGUUAAGUUUCUAGACCUGACUACUCAUUCACAGAAGAUGUGGGGGAGAGUAACAAAUUGACACUAUAAGGACGCUCCUUGCUGAGUCCACAUUAUGGGAUGUUCUGUGGGUAAACGAUCUUGUUUUUUCAAUUUUUUUUUUUUUUUGAGGGGAAACUGGUUAGACUAAAAGAGACUUAAACAUAGCAACCAAAUGCAAUCCGUGAACCUCAUUCUGAUUUUGAUUCUGAUUCAAACUUUUGUAAAAAGACAUUUUUAAGAUAAUCUGAAAAAAAUCUUACAGACUGGGUUUAGAUACUAAGAAACUAUUAAUAGUCUUAAUGUGAUAUUGGCAUGUACUUUUUUUUAAAGGUAUCUUUGUCUGUUACCAUGCACAUUAAAAUAUUUACGAGUGACUCAGUGAUAUCUAGGAUUUGUUUUAAAAUAUUCUAAGGGAAAAAAAGGUGAGAUUAAAAAAACAAAAUUGGUAAAACGGUAGGAAUUUGUUACAUUAGCUGCUGUGACUGAAAGUUGUGUCCCCCAAGAUUUGUAUGUUGGGAGCCCUAGUCCCAAUGGGAUGGUAUUCAGAGGUGGGGCUUUGGGGAGGUGGUUAGGGUUAGAUUAGGUCAUGAGGGUGGGGUCCUCGUAAUGGGAUAAAAAGACGAUUUUUAAGAGAUAAAAAGAUGGGAUAGAAAGAGAAAGACCUGAGAUCUCCUUCUCUGCCAUGUGAGGACAUAACAAGAAGAUGGCCAUGUGCAAACCAGGAAGAUGACACUCACCAGACACUUGAUCUGUCAGCACCUAGAUCGUGAGACUUCCCAGCCCAGACUAAAGACACUAGUCUACUUCAAUGUAUGCUUACGUUUUUUCAAUUAAAAAGAAAAAAAACUGAACUCAGGCAAAAGCUAAUUAAAGACGAAAGCUGCAGUAACCUCAGUACUGUUAAGGACUCAAACCCCUUGGGAAUGAAGGUUUAAGUCCCUCACCAGCUCAGGGGCUGGUGGAAGGCAAAAAGAACAUGAAAUGGGAAGUAAAUAAGGAAGUUGUACAAAUUAUCACCCACAGCCUCACGACAAGGCACCGAAACAAAAACUGAUGUAUAUUUUAUUCCUUGCUGUAUAUAUACAUAUAUAUAUACACCAAUUUUUCAUAUACAUCUGUGUGUGUAUAUAUAUAUAUGUAAAAUAAAAUUUAGUUAAGAUACGAAUUAUCCAGGUGAGACUGUAAGUGAAUUGAAGAUAUUAGUAUCACCUAGAAAAGGAUAUGAUGACUGACCAUUAGAUAAGGUAUUAGUGAUUUCCCUAGUUACUAAUCCUUCAGUAAUCUUACCUUCCUACUCUUCCAACGCCAAUUCUUCCUACUCUUUCAACGCCAAUCCCCUGCCCUCCACCCGCAUUUCUUUUGACUGUUUUUUUUUUUCUUUUCCUUUGCAGUACGCGGGCCUCUCACUGUUGUGGCCUCUCCCGUUGGGGAGCACAGGCUCCGGACGCGCAGGCUCAGCGGCCAUGGCUCACGGGCCCAGCCGCUCCGUGGCAUGUGGGAUCUUCCCGGACCGGGGCACGAACCCGUGUCCCCUGCGUCGGCAGGCGGACUCUCAGCCACUGCGCCACCAGGGAAGCCCCUGACUGAAUAUUUAGGACGGUUUCUGAUUCAUGAUGGGACCCUGACCUGCUUAGGGCCUAACUUGACCUUAUCAAAAGAAGUCAGAAAAUCCAACCAAACCUAACAAUGACCCACUGACCUUCAGGAUUACUUCUCAUGCUAAAGGAGGCAUUCAAAGGAGAAAACAACUGGCUACCAAGGGAAAAUAAUCCUCCACUCCUAGAUUUGGGGGAACAAGUAAACAAUCUGUAAGAAAUGAUGUCUCUGCUUAAGACCAGCUGGACUGAACUGAGUGUUGAAGCUAAGCAACAACAGUACCUCCCAUCCCACAUGCUCUUCUAUAAAGUGACCUUACAACUCAUUCCAUCAAGGGAGAUGUUGGAGGUGACCAUGUUCCCCAAACCGCUGAAUCUGAAAGAGCUUGUGACUACUCUCACAAAGUGUCACAGGAGUGACACUACGUGACUCCCGAGUCCAGGUCAGAAGAGGUGAUGCAGCCUCUGCCAGGUUCUGGGGGAAGCCAACUGCCAAAUAAGAAGUCCACCCUGAAGCUGCCAUGCUGGAGAGGGCACACGUAGCUCCUCCGGCCACCUACCCAGCUGAGUUCUCCGGCAACCGCCAGCGUCAACUGCCACUCACACGAGUGAGCCAUCGUGUCGCCCAACCUCUCAAACCUUCCUAAGGUCGCAGCCCCAGCUGACCUCUGACCGUAACCAGAGGAGACACCAUGGAAGAACUGCCCGGCUGCGCCCUCCCCACAGAGUCCUGACUCACAAAACUACCAAUAAAAUGCAAGGGUUGCUGUAAGCCAGUUUGCCGGUAAUUCGUUACGUAGCAACAGUAACCAGAACACCGACUACCUUGGGAAAAGUAUCCAUAAUCAAACUACCCUGUCCGGAACCAGUCAGCGUUCCAUAGCCUGCCAGAGAAAGCCACAGCUGCGUCCAUGUCUUGGGUGUUCACGUGUCUGGAGCUUUUCCAUGGUGCCAAGAAGAUGGUUUGGUGGAAAACUCAGCCUUGACAAGGGAAAUGACACGUUUUGGAAAGCACUAUCAAGAUCAAACCUGGCAGCAUCACCUGGAGGACCCGUAAAAAUGUAGAUGCCCCGGCCCCACACUCAAGGAAUCAGAAGACCCAAAGGUAAAGCCAACCAAUUCGCAUAUUUUUGUAAUUCUGAUGCAGUCAGAACCAGCAACCACUGAUGUUGUCGAAAAUCUCAGUGGCUGUAUCACCCCACCAUACCCAGAAACCAAUCGCCAGUCCUCUUCAGCAGAAACUCAGCCAGCAUCAAGAACAGAUUCACUGCCUCCUGAAAUGGCCUAUUCCUCUUUCAAGAACCUCUGAAAUCCUCCUAUAUUUUGUGCCAAAGUAUACUUCACUGUACUUUUUGCUCAUGAUUCAUGAGUCUGCUCUCUGGAGUAAUGCAGAACAAAUCUAAGUCUUUUUCACAUGACAGACAAACGUCUGCAGAGAGCUAUCAAUUUCCCUUAAGUCUUAUUUGUACAUAAGAAAUAAUACCCCAUCACUCCAUCAACAUUGCCUCAGGGCAUUUUCCAGUUCAACCAACAUCCUGUACUGCCCACUCAGAGAACUGAAGUUUG
Molecule: long non-coding RNA, 4493 nt
Organism: Physeter macrocephalus (sperm whale)
Lineage: Eukaryota; Metazoa; Chordata; Mammalia; Artiodactyla; Physeteridae
Exons: 5
Source: RefSeq, a predicted model, not a curated record